GACGAACGCUGGCGGCGUGCUUAACACAUGCAAGUCGAACGGAAAGGCCCUGAUUUUGUGGGGUGCUCGAGUGGCGAACGGGUGAGUAACACGUGAGUAACCUGCCCUUGACUUUGGGAUAACUUCAGGAAACUGGGGCUAAUACCGGAUAGGAGCUCCUGCUGCAUGGUGGGGGUUGGAAAGUUUCGGCGGUAGGGGAUGGACUCGCGGCUUAUCAGCUUGUUGGUGGGGUAGUGGCUUACCAAGGCUUUGACGGGUAGCCGGCCUGGGAGGGUGACCGGCCACAAUGGGACUGAGAUAGGGCCCAGACGCGUACGUGGGGCAGCGGUGGGGAAUAUUGCACAAUGGGCGGGAGCCUGAUGCAGCAACGCCGCGUUCGUGAUGACGUCCUUCUGGGUGUGAACCGCUGUCGCCUGUGACGAAGCGGGAGUGACGGUAAUGGGAAAAGAAGCACCGGCUAACUACGUG
Molecule: ribosomal RNA, 468 nt
Filed under: uncultured bacterium
Lineage: Bacteria
Description: partial 16S ribosomal RNA
Rfam family: Bacterial small subunit ribosomal RNA
Source: RNAcentral